UUAGUUUUCUUUUUGGUCUAUAUGGUCUUUUGGUUUUGUAGUUUUUUACAUAAUAUCUUCUUCUUGGUUUUUUAUAUUUAUAUUUUGAUCUGUAUUUUUUAUUAUAUUUCUUUCUAUUUUUAUAAUACUUAUCCGUACAACCAAAUUGAGGUGCUGUUUUAUUUUUGCAACAUGCCAAGUUUUUUACUAAUAUUUUUUCCAUUUUUAUUUCUUCUUUAUGUUUUUCACAUAGUUCCAUAAACCAUCGUUGUAAGAAUUUUAUUCUAGCUCCUAAGGUGUCUGUUAAUUCUGCUUCAUUCCAACUUUUUAUUACUUUUGAAUUAAAAGGUUCCGGUAAUUUUGUAAAAUAUAAUUUUCUUAUUUCUUUACUUUCUUCUAUGUUAUAUGUUCC
Molecule: long non-coding RNA, 391 nt
Filed under: Solanum tuberosum (potato)
Lineage: Eukaryota; Viridiplantae; Streptophyta; Magnoliopsida; Solanales; Solanaceae
Description: long non-coding RNA (STUB_LNC010882)
Source: RNAcentral